UAGUCCAUGCUGUAAACGAUGAAAACUUGCUGUUGGAUAUAUAAAUGUAUUCGGUGGCGUAGCUAACGCGUUAAGUUUUCCACCUGGGGAGUACGAUCGCAAGGUUAAAACUCAAAGGAAUUGACGGGGGCCCGCACAAGCGGUGGAGCAUGUGGUUUAAUUCGAUGCUACACGAAAAACCUUACCUACUUUGAUCUCCAUAACUAGAUAGAGAUAUUUGGGUGCCUUCGGGAAUUGGAUGACAGGUGCUGCAUGGCUGUCGUCAGCUCGUGUUGUGAAAUGUUGGGUUAAGUCCCGUAACGAGCGCAACCCUCAUCCUUAGUUACUAACAAGUAAUGUUGAGCACUUUAAGGAAACUGCCGGCGAUAAUCCGGAGGAAGGAGAGGAUGAUGUCAAGUCAUUAUGGGCCUUUAUGAGUAGGGGCUA
Molecule: ribosomal RNA, 426 nt
Filed under: uncultured bacterium
Lineage: Bacteria
Description: bacterial SSU rRNA
Rfam family: Bacterial small subunit ribosomal RNA
Source: RNAcentral